Molecule: transfer RNA, 67 nt
Filed under: Archispirostreptus gigas (African giant black millipede)
Lineage: Eukaryota; Metazoa; Arthropoda; Diplopoda; Spirostreptida; Spirostreptidae
Description: tRNA-Gln
Source: RNAcentral
UAUACUCUAGUGUAUAGGCACAAAAGAAUUUGGGUCUUUUAGACCUAGCUCUAACUAGGGGGUAUUA